This is a long non-coding RNA of Equus caballus (horse), 1906 nucleotides long. NCBI's taxonomy places the organism in Eukaryota, Metazoa, Chordata, Mammalia, Perissodactyla, Equidae. The record is from Ensembl.
GAUUGUGAGUUUUUUUAAUGAAAUAUAUCAACAUUCGGAAAAUCUGCCUAACUUAGUAAUCAAUACAAAUGAUACAGGACAUUAAAAUGCAUGAAUGGUUGUAAAAGAUGCAUUUAAAGUAUAAGAUAAAGAGAUUUUAAGUAACAGAGUACAAAAAGCUCAUUCCUAUUGUUUUAGAUCCACCAUUACAACUUAAGUUUAAAAAAACUAUUAUUUGUCAAGUUUUGACAUAGUAUCACAGAAGACUAUCUAAAAAGACUAUUAAAAUACUUCUCUAUUUCCCAAUUAUGUAUCUGUUUGAAGCCAGAUUUUCUUUAUAUACUUCAAUCAAAACAAUAGAAUGAUGAAGCAGCUAUGAGAAUCCAACUGUCUUAUAUUAAGCCAGAUAGUGGAGAUUUGCAAAAAUGGAAAACAAUGCCACAUUUCACAAAAAUGGUGACAAGUCCUUGCGUUUAUUAUUAUUUUAAAUUAAUUAAUAAAUAUUCUAAAACUUUUUUGGUCAGCUUUUAUUUCUAAUAUGGUCUAUUGAUAGAUAUAACCCAUAUAAACACGUUUUUUGAAGUCCUCAACAAUUUUUAAGAGCGUAUAGAGGGACUUCACACCAAAAAGUUUGAGAACCAUUUACACAGAGAAGUAUGAAGGUACUGAAUCCUUCUUCUGGAAACUUGGUCUCUCAGACAGGUGAACACUUGUUCUGUGUUGUGGGAAGGAGGUUAGCAAGAGCAUGCUGCAGACUCACGUUGACUCAGGUCAAGCUCCUACCUCUGAAGUUCUUCGCUAUGUUGUCUUGGAUAGUUGAAACCAUAACAAGCGUAGGUUGGAGAAGUAUGUCUUAGGAUGUCAAAACCUGAAACAUCUGUCAUCUUCUGAUCCAAACAGCUUAUGUUUAAAAUAGAAAGGUAAAAUUGAAAUUGACAAUCGUAUGUUAUUCAAUUGGUUGAAACAAGCUAUAGCUUGUUGGUGAAACUGAAUCUCCCGUCUCCAAAUAUGAUGCUUAUUAAUCAAUACUAGAUGGCUAGUAGCCGUAAUUCAGGCCUGGAAUCCAGAAAGGAAUUUUGUGAGGAAAUAUUUUGCUUUUGCUUUAUGGGCCAUGAAUUACAAGUUCAAGGGAACAAACAACAAAUGUGUUUUUGAUUAAUAAAGAAACACAGUUUUACUAAAUGUUUUCACUGCUUGAACCAUUAGCACAGGAACAGUUAAGCACUACUAAGCAAUAAUCAGCAAGCCUGCAUUACAUAUAAUAUUCAUGGAAGUUUAGAGUGGAUGUUAAGUGCCCCUGUGGGGUCCCACAGCCAGACACUUGACACUCCAUGAUGUCCACCCUCCCCCUAAAUCAGUUUAAUCCACAUUAUAUGUAAGAGUACAUCAGUUAGACAAUAUAUUUUAAAUUACAGGUUAGCAUUUAAAAACUACCGUACAACUAAAAAUCAAGAAGCAGGAGUCUGAUUAAGUGGAUGAAAUUGUGCUCUGAAACUUAAGCCAGUUUCUCAAGAGUUGAACCACCUAAGGCAGGGUUCAAACAAAGGCUGAAGCCCUGAAGGUUUGUAGGGGAGAAUUAGUAAGUGGGUUUCCCCGAGCAGUGUGAAGUCAUCAGGCAAGGUAAUGCUUCCCAGAGGUGUAACCGCUGUGGGGGGGUCGGGGGGCGGAAACGCGUAGUACUUUGCAGGUCGGCCCCCGGGGACCGGGCUGGCUGACUACCUAGUAUUGCAAUAAAAUUCUUGCCCUCAAAUCACAUCCCCCAACACUACACCCUGCGCGACGUGUUGAAAAGCAUCGCUCCCAGUUUACUCGACUUUUCUGUUUUGACCUGUUCAUUAUUGUCCCAGAUAUGUAAUAAGGAGCAGGAACCCAGUUUUCAAGGCCUAUCGAGCGCGAAAGAAGUCCAACCUCAGAGGAACCCUGGAAG